RNAcentral lists this ribosomal RNA (479 nucleotides) under uncultured bacterium. Its description in RNAcentral is "partial 16S ribosomal RNA". It matches the Rfam family "Bacterial small subunit ribosomal RNA", at positions 28 to 507 of the family's 1533-position model. The record is from RNAcentral.
GAUGAACGCUCGCGGGGGGCCUAACACAUGCAAGCCGAGCGGUAGAGUCUCUUCGGAGACUUGAGAGCGGCGCACGGGUGCGGAACACGUGUGCAACCUGCCUUUAUCUGGGGGAUAGCCUUUCGAAGGGAAGAUUAAUACCCCAUAAUAUACUGGAUGGCAUCAUCUGGUAUUGAAAACUCCGGUGGAUAGAGAUGGGCACGCGCAAGAUUAGAUAGUUGGUGAGGUAACGGCUCACCAAGUCAGCGAUCUUUAGGGGGCCUGAGAGGGUGAUCCCCCACACUGGUACUGAGACACGGACCAGACUCCUACGGGAGGCAGCAGUGAGGAAUAUUGGACAAGGGGUGAGAGCCUGAUCCAGCCAUCCCGCGUGAAGGACGACGGCCCUAUGGGUUGUAAACUUCUUUUGUAUAGGGAUAAACCUAGAUACGUGUAUCUAGCUGAAGGUACUAUACGAAUAAGCACCGGCUAACUCCGUG